ACAGCAGCAGCCGCGGUAAUACGUAGGUGGCAAGCGUUGUCCGGACUUAUUGGGCGUAAAGCGAGCGCAGGCGGUCAAUUAAGUCUGAUGUGAAAGCCCCCGGCUCAACCGGGGAGGGUCAUUGGAAACUGGUUGACUUGAGUGCAGAAGAGGAGAGUGGAAUUCCAUGUGUAGCGGUGAAAUGCGUAGAUAUAUGGAGGAACACCAGUGGCGAAGGCGACUCUCUGGUCUGUAACUGACGCUGAGGCUCGAAAGCGUGGGUAGCAAACAGGAUUAGAUACCCCCUGUAGUCCCUGUCUCUUAUA
RNAcentral lists this ribosomal RNA (305 nucleotides) under uncultured bacterium. Its description in RNAcentral is "partial 16S ribosomal RNA". It matches the Rfam family "Bacterial small subunit ribosomal RNA", at positions 505 to 808 of the family's 1533-position model. The record is from RNAcentral.